UACAGAGGUCCCGAGCGUUGUUCGGAUUCACUGGGCGUAAAGGGUGCGUAGGUGGUGAGGUAAGUCGGAUGUGAAAUCUCCAAGCUCAACUUGGAAAUGGCAUUGGAAACUACCUUGCUGGAGGUUUGGAGGGGGGACUGGAAUUCUCGGUGUAGCAGUGAAAUGCGUAGAUAUCGAGAGGAACACCAGUGGCGAAGGCGGGUCUCUGGGCAGUAACUGACGCUGAGGAGCGAAAGCGUGGGGAGCGAACAGG
This 253-nucleotide ribosomal RNA is filed under the name uncultured bacterium. RNAcentral describes it as "partial 16S ribosomal RNA". It matches the Rfam family "Bacterial small subunit ribosomal RNA", at positions 524 to 776 of the family's 1533-position model. The record is from RNAcentral.